This is a long non-coding RNA of Haliotis rubra (blacklip abalone), 90 nucleotides long. RefSeq lists it as uncharacterized. NCBI's taxonomy places the organism in Eukaryota, Metazoa, Mollusca, Gastropoda, Lepetellida, Haliotidae. The transcript is spliced from 2 exons. The record is from RefSeq and is a predicted model, not a curated record.
AACAUGUGGCCAGUUUGAAGCAAGUUGUCCCAUAGAUGACUUGUAUUAUUAUAUACAAACUACAGUAAUAAAAAGGAACUUGCAGCCUCA